Molecule: long non-coding RNA, 294 nt
Organism: Ailuropoda melanoleuca (giant panda)
Lineage: Eukaryota; Metazoa; Chordata; Mammalia; Carnivora; Ursidae
Exons: 3
Source: RefSeq, a predicted model, not a curated record
CAAGGGAGCAGCAAUCCUGUAUGCUGGGUGGUAGUGUCUGCUUCUGGACGACCGUCACAGAGCCUCUGCAGGGCCGGCAUCCGCGCCAGACUGGUCCCCUGGGGACCGCCGCUGCCCAAGGACAAGUGCUGAGAACGAAUCGCCGGGAUUCAAGCGUCUGCUAAAAGUACUUUCAUUUUCUGCUACGGUUUCUGGAUGGAAUGGUUGCAGAGUGGCGUGUGCUCAUUAGAAUCAAGGGCUACCUGUGCCAUAGUUACCAGCAAGUUAGAACCUGACGCCCGAUGCUUGAUUUAG